RNAcentral lists this long non-coding RNA (1290 nucleotides) under Glycine max (soybean). Its description in RNAcentral is "long non-coding RNA (GMAX_LNC001587)". The record is from RNAcentral. Lineage: Eukaryota; Viridiplantae; Streptophyta; Magnoliopsida; Fabales; Fabaceae.
CCACAUUAAAUCAUAAAACUUGAAAACAUAUAACCAUUGUAAAAUGCCCACAUUUGCUCCAUGUAAACUGCACCUCCAAAACCAACCACGUAAAACCAUUCUCCUGCACCUUGGACUACAUAAUCACGUUUUCUUCCAAACACCAACUGAGUUUACUCCAAUUACUUCUCUUAUGCACAUGACUUGCUGCUUUUACCACUUUUGCAGCUGCAGGCAUGCCGUAGUAUCCAAUCACCACACAACACAUCUGAUAAUUAACUACAAAGAAAUUCCACCAAUCAAGAAUUCACAACCAAGCUUAGAUACAUAUCGUCUUAAAAUCAUGAGAUUCUUAACAAUAAGCUUGCCUACUUGUAUCAUCUUAAAAUCAAGAGACAACUCCACUUUCGCUACAUACACUUCUUAUUGCUUUUGAUUAAAAAAACUUGUUCUAGUCAAUGUCUUGGGUGUAGCAUAAGCAACUUCUAGAAAAUAAAUCAGGCACAAGAUGUUAUUAUAUUAUUAUAUGUUAUCAGAAAAUAGUUUUAUCAAAAAGGACAAACAAAAUUCAAAAUGAACCGUGAUGGAUAUCCCAAAAGGAAAAUUAUGGAAUUCAAACAAUAAGACAAGCCAUUCUUUACCUUUCUUCACUGAAACUUUUUGUCUUGAAAAUUAACCACACAAUAAGCAAGCAAAAUCAACUUGUUCUCAUUAACAAAAUUCAACGAAUAAUUGUAGAUCCAAAACAUGACAUGCAAGCUAGUAAUAACAAAUAAAAAAAAAGAUUAUUUAAAGUUUAAACAAAGAUUUUCUUUCCCACAAGAAAACUCAACAAUGGACAAUAAAACAUAAACAAAAAUAGCAAGACAGUGAAAGAAAAACCCCCCAAUUUGGCACAAAAAACAAGACCCCCAAUUUGCUUUCCCAUUAUCACACAAACCACACAUAGUGAGAGAAAAAGAGACAAAACGAAAGAAAGAGAGAUAGAUCAGUGCAUGAAUGGGUGAAAGAGAACUCAGGGAUUGAUAAAGGUGGCAUUGACCGGUGAUCGGUGAUCGACGAGCAGAGUAGAUCGAACGACUCAGAGAGAGAUAGAGAGAGCACCGAGUACGAGAGGGAGGGAGACCAGCAUGAACACAACAACAUUGAGCGGGAAAGAGAGAGCAAUGACGAGCAGCGAUCACCGUACCAAAGGGAGACAGAAAGUGACAGGGAAGGAGGUUGGCGCAGAUUGUCGAGGUAGGGAUGGGAGAGCGGCACAGAUCGUGAGGUAGAGAUGGGAGUAACACAAAUAAUAAACGUAAAUCCUAU